AACGAACGCUGGCGGGAUGCCUAACACAUGCAAGUCGAACGAGACCUUCGGGUCUAGUGGCGCACGGGUGCGUAACGCGUGGGAACCUGCCCUUAGGUUCGGAAUAACUCCCCGAAAGGGGUGCUAAUACCGGAUAAUGUUUUCGGACCAAAGAUUUAUCGCCUUUGGAUGGUCCCGCGUUGGAUUAGCUAGUUGUUAGGGUAAAAGCCUACCAAGGCGACGAUCCAUAGCUGGUCUGAGAGGAUGAUCAGCCACACUGGGACUGAGACACGGCCCAGAAUCCUACGGGAGGCAGCAGUGGGGAAUAUUGGAACAUGGGCGAAAGCAUGAUCCAGCAAUGCCGCGUGAGUGAUGAAGGCCUUAGGGUUGUAAAGCUCUUUUACCCGGGAUGAUAAUGACAGUACCGGGAGAAUAAGCUCCGGCUAACUCCGUG
RNAcentral lists this ribosomal RNA (433 nucleotides) under uncultured bacterium. Its description in RNAcentral is "partial 16S ribosomal RNA". It matches the Rfam family "Bacterial small subunit ribosomal RNA", at positions 29 to 507 of the family's 1533-position model. The record is from RNAcentral.